RNAcentral lists this ribosomal RNA (451 nucleotides) under uncultured bacterium. RNAcentral's name for it is "bacterial SSU rRNA". It matches the Rfam family "Bacterial small subunit ribosomal RNA", at positions 354 to 796 of the family's 1533-position model. The record is from RNAcentral.
GUGGGGAAUAUUGGACAAUGGGGGGAACCCUGAUCCAGCCAUGCCGCGUGUGUGAAGAAGGCCUUUUGGUUGUAAAGCACUUUAAGCGAGGAGGAGGCUACCGAGAUUAAUACUCUUGGAUAGUGGACGUUACUCGCAGAAUAAGCACCGGCUAACUCUGUGCCAGCAGCCGCGGUAAUACAGAGGGUGCAAGCGUUAAUCGGAUUUACUGGGCGUAAAGCGCGCGUAGGUGGCCAAUUAAGUCAACUGUGAAAUCCCCGAGCUUAACUUGGGAAUUGCAUUCGAUACUGGUUGGCUAGAGUAUGGGAGAGGAUGGUAGAAUUCCAGGUGUAGCGGUGAAAUGCGUAGAGAUCUGGAGGAAUACCGAUGGCGAAGGCAGCCAUCUGGCCUAAUACUGACACUGAGGUGCGAAAGCAUGGGGAGCAAACAGGAUUAGAAACCCGGGUAGUCC